This is a long non-coding RNA of Trachymyrmex cornetzi, 195 nucleotides long. RefSeq lists it as uncharacterized. The record is from RefSeq and is a predicted model, not a curated record. The transcript has 2 exons. NCBI's taxonomy places the organism in Eukaryota, Metazoa, Arthropoda, Insecta, Hymenoptera, Formicidae.
UAAACAGACUUAAUGGAUCUAACUUACAACUAUACAAUUACCACCUUUCAAUUAGUGUUCCGUUGGAGAUUGAUAGCCUCCUCGUCGAAAAUCUCUUUUCAAAACAACCGGAGAAAAAUCGAUGCAGAACUGGCUUCCACCGACCGUGCAACGUUGCACGCUCCAAUUCUGCAUUACGAAAAGAAGAGAGAGAGA